This is a long non-coding RNA of Dreissena polymorpha, 1068 nucleotides long. RefSeq lists it as uncharacterized. The record is from RefSeq and is a predicted model, not a curated record. The transcript is spliced from 3 exons. Lineage: Eukaryota; Metazoa; Mollusca; Bivalvia; Myida; Dreissenidae.
UUUAAUUUUCACCGGGGAUGAACAACUUUUGUCACGUGACCGCAAAAGUCAACGCCGGUUGCAGAAACAGAUUGUAAUCUUGUACAUUAAGAAACAUGACGCUCGUGUGUGAAAUCUGUGGAAAGACAUUUAAAUCGAAGUGGGGGUUAAAGCUUCAUGAUAAGCGCCACAGAGGGACUGGACGAUUCGCCUGUUGUGGAAAAACAUUUUACACAAAACAGGCGUUCAACAGACACAGAUGCAGCAUUCAUGGUGUUGAAAAGCCGUUCCCCUGUGAACAAUGCGGCAAAAAGUUUUCAACCAAAGAUGACCUGAAUCGUCACGUCCGGAGGGAGGUUGCUGCAAAGCAAUUUACCUGCUCAAUUUGCAAUGCAACGCUCCGGGAGAAAAUUGACCUUCAGGCCCACCUUGCCACCCACAAUGGAGAGAAAAACUUUGCUUGUGAUAUGUGUGAAAAGAGGUACAGGCACCGCAGUAGUCUAUCAAAGCACAGAUCUGCAAAGCACCGGGCCUAGUCAUCUGUUGCAUGACGAUGAUAAGACCAAGAAUUAUUUUUAAUUCUUACCAAUGUGCCGUGGUUAUUUUCUUAAUUAUUGAAAAUACAGACUGUCAUACAAUAAUAUAUAGUAUUACGCGUGUUUUUGCGUCUUAAACAUUGUGUUUCAUAUCGUUUAUCUUGUGUUGUUUUGUUUGAUAUUCCUGUUUUUAAUAAGAUUAUUGUUGUAAUAUUUAUCAUUCUAAUUUAAAAUGAUUAUGAUAAUGGUUGAUCUCAUACAAAUUAUUGUGUUCAUUAUUGCUCAUCUGUGAUUACUGUUGAUCUCAGCCCAUGAAUUGUGAUUUAUAUUGAUUAUCUGUGAUUAUUGUUGAUCUUAUCAAAAUAAUUGUAAUUUAUGUUGAUUAUCUGUGAAUUUUUUAUCUUAACCUAUUAAUAGUGAUUUAUAUUAUCUGUGAUUAUUGUUGAUCUUAUCAAAAUCAUUGUGAUUUAUGUUGAUUAUCUGUGAUUAUUGUUGAUCUCAACCGAUUAAUUGUGAUUUAUAUAACCAGUGAUUAUUGUUGAUCUUUUCAAAA